This 1259-nucleotide ribosomal RNA is filed under the name Habroloma sp. RNAcentral describes it as "16S ribosomal RNA". The stretch from base 1014 to 1171 matches the Rfam family "Archaeal large subunit ribosomal RNA", at positions 2542 to 2701 of the family's 2987-position model. The record is from RNAcentral. Lineage: Eukaryota; Metazoa; Arthropoda; Insecta; Coleoptera; Buprestidae.
UGUUAAUUAAAUUAUUAUUUUUAUUAUAAAAUUAUUUUAUCUAUAUUGUUGAUUUUUAUUAUAGUUGACUAUUACCGUGAGGGAAAUUUGAAAUAUAUUGAAAAUAUUAGCUUUAGUAAGAAUGUUUAUUUUACAGUACCUUGUGUAUCAGGGCUUAUUAAUUAAUUUUUAAUGAUUUAGUUUUCCCGAAUUUAAAAGAGCUAUAAGGUUAUAUAUUUUAUUGUUUUAUAAAUAUUUUUAAUUAUCUUAUUGAAAUGAAAUGUUAUUCGAUUUUAAAUAUAUCUGGUUUUUUGAGAAGAAAUUCAAUUUCAUUACUUUCUUUUUUUUUUAAUUUUAAAUUUUUGAGGGAAGUAUUAUAUAUAUUAUGGGAUAAGCUUUAAUAUUUAUUUCUAAAAAUUUUAUUUGUGAUUAAUUUUGUAGGAUUAAGAAUUUCUUUCAAUUUAAGUAUGUUAUAAUUUUAUUGAUUUUUAUAUUAUUUAUAUUUUUUUUAGGUUUUUUAUCAAAAUUUAUUUUUAAAUUUAUUAAUUUAUUAAUAAUGAUAGGAUUAGUAUAUUUAAUUUUAUUUAGUACUAAAUAUUUUAGAUGUAAUAAAGGAAUUCGGCACUAAUUUUCUGCCUGUUUAUUAAAAACAUGUCUUUUUGAUAAUUUUAGAAAGUCUAAUCUGCCCAAUGAUAUUUUAAAUGGCCGCGAUAUUUUGAUCGUGCGAAGGUAGCAUAAUCAUUAGUUUUUUAAUUGAAAGCUGGAAUGAAGGAUUGAACAAGAAAAUUUCUGUCUCUAUUUAUAUUUUUAGAAUUUUAUUUUUAAGUCAGAAAGCUUAAAUAAUAUUAAAAGACGAGAAGACCCUAUAGAGUUUAACUUUUUAAUAAAAUUAUUAUUUUUGUUUUAUAAUUUUUAAUUUUAAAUAAAGGUUUAGUUGGGGUGACGUAAAAAUUUAGUAAACUUUUUUUUUAAUAAAAUAUUUUUUGAUAGAUGGAUGAUUUACUUUUGUAAUUAUAAGAUAAAAUUACCUUAGGGAUAACAGCGUUAUUUUUUUUAGAGUUCUUAUCGAAAAUAAAAAUUGCGACCUCGAUGUUGGAUUAAAAUUUAUUUGUGGUGGAGAAGCUACAGAAUUUAGUCUGUUCGACUAUUAAAAUUUUACAUGAUCUGAGUUUAGACCGGCGUGAGCCAGGUCGGUUUCUAUCUUUAAUGUGUUAUGAUAUUUUAGUACGAAAGGACCAAAUAUUUUUUAAAUUAAUUUUAUUUAUUGACUAAUAUUAAUA